GGGGAUAUAGUUCAAAUAGGUCAGAACACAAAUCUUGCACAUUUGCAACAUGGAUUCGAAUUCCAUUAUCUCCA
This 74-nucleotide transfer RNA is filed under the name Pneumocystis sp. 'ludovicianus'. Its description in RNAcentral is "tRNA-Ala". It matches the Rfam family "tRNA". Rfam says of the family: Transfer RNA (tRNA) molecules are approximately 80 nucleotides in length. Their secondary structure includes four short double-helical elements and three loops (D, anti-codon, and T loops). The record is from RNAcentral. Lineage: Eukaryota; Fungi; Ascomycota; Pneumocystomycetes; Pneumocystales; Pneumocystaceae.